GGUAUGUCGCAUCUGGCCCGCUCCGCUACGGGGUUGUGUGCCGGCUUGCGUCUGCCAUCUUUCCGGACCUCUCCAUUACUUCUCUUCACUGGGUUGUUUUGGCGAACCGGAUCUUUUACUUUGAAAAAAUUAGAGUGUUUAAAGCAGGCUUGUGCUAUGAAUACAUUAGCAUGGAAUAAUAAUUUAGGACUUUGGUCUUAUUUUGUUGGUUUCUAGGACUAAAGUA
Molecule: ribosomal RNA, 226 nt
Filed under: uncultured fungus
Lineage: Eukaryota; Fungi
Description: partial small subunit ribosomal RNA
Rfam family: Eukaryotic small subunit ribosomal RNA (bases 58-226)
Source: RNAcentral